UGACAUGAGCAGCCCCUUGUACCUGUA
This 27-nucleotide non-coding RNA is filed under the name Mus musculus (house mouse). Lineage: Eukaryota; Metazoa; Chordata; Mammalia; Rodentia; Muridae. The record is from RNAcentral.